ACUUUCAAGCCCUGUUGUUGAAGUUGAAGAAGCUAGAUUGAGACUGUCCAGGGACAGUUUGGUUACUUGCAGUCGAACGCGGAAUGUGCUGCUGCUGGUGUUGUGGAUGGUGGUUACCACAUUGAACAAAGGGCUGUGGUUGGGGAGGUAAAUGAAAACGUGUUCCUCUAUUUCCAUUCGCAGCUGGAAUUUGGCCUGCUUCAAUCUUAAGCCGCUGCACUUCUUCCCUCAAAGUUUCAUUUAGAGCUGAAAGUUAUUCACGUACAUUUUAGUCCUAUAGUUCUAGUAUCAUAUCAAUGUACUAAGCAAGCUCAGACAAGAAAAUGGAGAAAUAAAUAAUGGCACUAACGAAUAUUAAAGUAGAUGAGUCCACCAAAAGAGAAAAGGAAGAUCAUAAAGCUUUGCAAGCCAGUGGUGCUAUAACAUAUUCAACUACUAUAAUUUUGCCAAACAUUCCCCUUAAACAGAAUCUUUAUCCCAGAGGAUGCAUUUGACAUUGAACUUAAAAAUUUCUCUGGACAAUAAUUGACUCAGUCAGAAAGAUUUUGCUUCAGUUUAUUUAAACUUUCCAGUUCAGUUCUGUUUUCUGUCUCUCUGUGUGUGAGAUAAACAAAUCCUGUUUUCUGGUUAGACUUUUCUGGUUCUUUUAGAAGACCUGUUUAGGCAAAGAAUAAUGAUUUUUCCAGGACUACAUUAAAACAAAGAGUUAAAUAUAGUAAUACUCCAAACUCAACAAAAAAUUUCUGAAGAUAGAGCUAGACUCAAUACAAAGAGCUGAAAAUUUAAACCUACAUUCAAACCAGUGGCGAAGCCACAUGGUGAUAAGGGUGGUCAUGACCACCCUUCGUCGAAAAAUUACACUGUGUACAUAGGUAAAAUAUUACGUUUUAGAGGUAUAUAACACAUAUUGAACACCUUUUGUCGGAAAUUUUUUUCACUUCUUUUAAAUUUGAACAUCCUUGGGGAAAUUUCUAGCUUCGCCAUUGAUUCAAACCCAGCCAAAGAUUGAAUAUAGGAAGAGAGCAACUGUAGUUCCACCAUAUAUAAUUAAAAAAUAGGUAUUUGAAAAAAAUGUCUCCUCUGACAUGGGUAUAAAGGAUUGUGUAGGUGUGUAAAGAGGUGGAAGGCGUAUGGGGGGAGGGGGAUGGUGGAGACUCUGAGCAUCAGGGAUGAUCGGUCUGAGGUGGAAAUGAAACACAUAAGACAAAAAGAGAAAGAAGAAGAGAUGGAUAGCAGAGCACAAAAGUGACAGUAGUAUACAUUUGUUAAGAACAGCAUUGUGUUUUACCAAUCUCAUUAGCUGGUACAGUGAAACCCUUGUUUUUCUUUAAAUGUGAUUGCAGAAAACAAAUGUAUUAAAGUGCCAUAUUAAAUGUGAUUGCAGAAAACAUAAUCAGAAUGUUUCUCAAGAUGCUCUGUUUUUGGAGGAUUUUUACAUAAUUUUGUUUAUUCUUAGACCCAGCAGACACUCCUGCCCUUUUUCUUUGUUAUAUUAACUUUAAUGCUCUUCCGUGCACAAUUUUCUUUGAGACCAGACUGUAAGCUUGAAAAUUUAUAGUAUUAAAUUAUAGUAAAGGCAUACCAUCUCUAAGAUGUGCUUGUUGUUCCAAAGCUUGCAACCGAAAUUUGAGUUCUUUGUUUUCAGCAGCUAUUCCAGAAGUGUCUCUCUGCAUCAACAGACAAAAAUAGCGUGAAAAGACGGUUUAAAAGUUUUACAUACUUCACUUUGUGGAAAUGACCCUCUGUUGGUUUUAGCAACAAUGUGUUGAUCUCUUGAGAAUGUUACAUCCAGCAAUAUAUUUAUAAUGCCAGCCAAUACACAUUUAUAAAAACAAAUAUUGACAAUAGCCUUUGUGGGCACACAGCAAAUAUGCAUCAUGUGGAAAUAUCUUAUUAUAUGUUAGUCCCAAAAAAGAAAAUAAGAGCAAAGGGUUGAAAAGCACCAUUAAGCCAUUAUGGCCAAUAAAUAGGUCAAAAAUUGAGGUUGGACAGUAGCUCGCAUGGUGCGAGCCCCUCAUCCUUUACCAUUUGGCGAGAGAUCGGAUCCCACCUAUGUAAAAUUACCCUCCCCUUUCCCCUCCCCCUAAUAGUAAUAAUAUUAAAAAACAGGUCAAAAUGGAAGCUUUACUAGUACAAACUAGAUACUCAUGAUGCAGUUAAAGUAAAAUACAUACAAAUCAUUCGGACAUCAAAAGAAGAAAACAGUAAGAGUAAUAGAGUAGCAUACUGAUGCAUUGUUAACAAGUGCAAUGGUACAACUGCCGAGUAUUAACUUAGGUUCCACCAGAGAGUUGGUACUAGCAGCCACAAUGAAUUCUUCCUCUGAUAUUGGAAACUGCUAGACCAAGAUUAUACUGUGGAAUAAUUAACUUAUGAAGACUAUCCUAGACAAAAGACGUUCACUUUUUAGCACCAUCGAGAGGUGCUUCCACUUAGAAACACCUGAUUGCAGGACAGACUAGUGGGUGAAAAUGAAAAGACAGAGGAACUGUUUGCACCAGCACCCUACAAACUUUCAAAGUGUAAUGACCUAGGCAUAAGUAGAUAUUUGAACAGCAAAAGAUUGGAGCGACACUAAGCUAGUGUUUGGCCAUAGAUUCCCAAAUUUGUUUUGAAAAAUCUGAUUUGAGUGAAGUUUGAUUUGAAGAUGAAAAUGUGUAUGGACAUCAGUUUUCAAAACAUAUUUCCCAAAUUUAUUUUGGAAAAACGUGAAACAUGAUUAUACCCACAAGUUCUAAAAACUAUAACAAAUACCCAACAGUACCAUUAUCAAUAACAUUCAUUAUAUUAUCGCAAAUUAUAGUCCUGAACAUAAAUAAAUUUGGUACAAAAUUAUUUUUUUUAUAAUGAAUUACAUGAUACCAAGAAGACGAAGCAACAUUGUUACAAAAUAAUAAAUGGUGGGCUCUUUUAUAAAAUACAAAAGUUUGGGGCAAUUUUAAAAAAAAUGUAAUAGUGAUAUUUUGGCCCAAAACCAGCUAUUGAGCUGGUUUUGGGAUUUUGGAUAGGCAAAAUCUAUGGCCAAACAUGUGUUUGCCAAAUAAAACCCAAAUUUAUUGUGGCAAAAUCUAUGGCCAAACGGGUCCUAAAACUUGAAUGGCAUGACAAACAAAGCUUGUUAGUUGUUCCGCAGCUUCUUUUACAACAUCUGAAUUUGAGUUGAGGCCAAUAUAUGAUAGAAGCAACUGAUAAAUAAUUACUUGGAUAUCCUUUAAAGUGAAUACAAACCUAAGAUGAUACAGCAAUAGUAAAUUCUAGACCCAAAUGAAACAGUGCAAAUUUCCAAAUAAAUCAACAGAAGCAAUUGCAUUCUUUACACAUACCAGUUCUUAAAAAGUAGAACACAACAGAAGAGCUAACAUGCAAACUAAAAAUGUUGGCCAUAUCAUUUACAUUGGGUACAAAUUGUAUAGAAAAGUCGACCAGCAGAAAAGAUGCUUGAAACUUGAAAGAAUAUACGCAAAAGCUCCAGAUAUAUGGCAACUUUUCUGUCAUAGCUGGGGUUACAAAAACCCCAAUCUUGGUUUCCAAGUCAUACAACAAGCCCAUUUCUCACUUAUCAGGAAAAAAAAAAGCCCAAUUCUCCAGAAACAAAAGUCUCAAUCUUUUCCACAUUCAAGAAUUCAAUUGGAAGAGAGUUCAAACUAUCAGUUCGAGUUACUUAUUCAAUAAGUUCUAUACAAUCACUUACUCCACAAAAGAAAAUUAGGUCAUUAUCAUUGAUCAUACUUCUUUAUCAGUUACUUCUUUAUUUGAUUGCAGAGGGUAUAUGCAAAUUUUGGAGCUCUUCACUAAAUGGGUUAGUCGAUGUAAGGCUAUUUAAUCUUAGCCAACUAACUCCGUCUUUUCGUUUCGAAAUGUUCCUCUGGGUAGUAAUUUGAUCGACCAAUUGUUUGACCAGUAGUUUGAGGUGAAAAUGAAAAAAGGGCAGCCCGGUGCACUAAGCUUCCGCUAUACGCAGGGUCAAGGAAAGGCCGGACCACAAGGGUCUAUCGUACGCAGCCUGCAUUUCUGCAAGAGGUUGUUUCCAUUGAGGUGAAAAUGACUUUUUUCUUAAAUAUACAAUCAAGAUCAAGGGCAUCAGGUGAAUUGAGCCAAUCGUCACUUCGUUUAGACAUCAAAUAAAGCUGAGAGCCCUUGGUGAUGCUGUGACUUUGAUGGAUGAAUACAUUGUAUUAAAGGUAUGUUGCUAAACACAAGAGGCUAUUCAACAUGUAAGAUUACUUUAGACAACAUAAUUUCAUAAAGUAGAUGAAUGUCACAUGUAUACUUCUGAAAAAAUUUCAGACCUGAAGAACUGUGAUCUGUGCAGAUAGAGUGGUGGCUUCAGUCUGCAGAGUCUGCACUUUCCUCUCUAGCUCACCAGUAUAACGAGUUUUUCGCUCCUUAGAACGUGCAGCAGAUUGUCUAUUUGCUAGAAUCCUGUAAAAUUGCACGAAAAAAUAGCUCUAUUUAAAAGCUGAAACUUGCAAUUUGGUUUUAGAGUUCUUAUCAAACAAAAGCAUACUAUUAUUUUGAGAAAAGAAAAGAGAAGACCAAAAGUAAAUGCUGCCAUGAGAUCUAAUAAAGAAACAAUGCAAUUAUGUCCUUUUGUAAGAAAACUUUCAAAUUCCAAAAGUUGAAAAAGAUGCUUUGUACUUAAUCAAUUCCAAGUUUAAUCUUCAUUCUCUAAACAUUCAGCAGCUUAAAACAUUACAGCCUCCUUCUAUUUGGCUCGAUAUGAAGCGGUAUCACCAUGAAAGGUGCAAUAGCAUCUCUUCCUCAACACUGUAGCUUGACUUCUCUGUUAGGGGGCUACUAGUUAGACUGCAAUCAACUAGUUUGUUUUUUUCUUCUAAUAUGCAGAUGAGAAAGAAAGCCAAAACCCAAGAACUGCAACUACCAUCUACUUCAUGAAUCAUAGCAAGUAAAAGUCUUUAUUGACAGCUGAAGUUAUGCUACUUAGGCACUCCAAAGAAACAACAAAUAACUUAAAAACCAAGAACUGCAACUACCGUCUACUUUUCACCAUUUUCUCACCAUAAACCAUUUCAUAACGAAUUUAACUAACCCAAUUAAAGGUUUCAGAACACAUUUUUCCUUCAUCGCUUCUGGAAAGAAAAAAAUUAAGCCCAACAUGAUUCCAACUUCAAGCCUAGACCAAAAAUGGCAAAAAACAAAUAAAUUACAACCUAAAAUUCUAACACUGGAUUAAACGUCCAAAAAGAGGACAAAAAGUAAAAGAAGAUGUAACCUUUUGGCUCUCUUGGGAUCAAUCAGGGACAGCUCAGCAAGCUUAUCAGGAGCCAUAGCCUUCUUCACAGAAAGCGAUUCAGACUCAAAAUCAAAAGACCCAUCCAUGGAAUUGCUAUGCCUAUGACGUGGGCCACCACCCAUCAUCUUAUUCUCCGCCGCCGCAGCACCAAAGUCCAGUCCAUCGAAAAAAUCAGCAUCCACAGAGAGACUACGGUAGUGGGCCAGCGGCUUAGGGUUAUUAUCGGAAGGCCCAGCUGAUAACGCCGGCCCAGUUGACGAAGAAUCAGCCGAAUUUGCAGGCUGCUGCUGCUGCAUGAGGGACGGCGCCUGAACAUCGAGGUUGAAGUCUGUAACGACGUCGUCUAAGAGGAUGUCAUCGUCGAAGUUUGGAAACCGGAAAAAGGUUUCGGAUUGGGCCCUGCGAUGACGUGACCCACGGGUCGGAGUAUCCUGCAUCUGGUCAAGGUCAGUUUGACCUGAAAGGAAU
This 5722-nucleotide long non-coding RNA is filed under the name Nicotiana tabacum (common tobacco). RNAcentral's name for it is "long non-coding RNA (NTAB_LNC003964)". Lineage: Eukaryota; Viridiplantae; Streptophyta; Magnoliopsida; Solanales; Solanaceae. The record is from RNAcentral.